Bombus huntii is the source of this 874-nucleotide long non-coding RNA. RefSeq lists it as uncharacterized. NCBI's taxonomy places the organism in Eukaryota, Metazoa, Arthropoda, Insecta, Hymenoptera, Apidae. The transcript has 2 exons. The record is from RefSeq and is a predicted model, not a curated record.
UUGAAUGUAAACAAAUACGCAUAAUACAGCUCAUUGGAUGUAUCUCUAUAAUCUAGUAUAUUUGAAUGUAUCUCUAAUCUAUAAUAGAAAAGUAUCGUAAGUUACUUAUACCAUUCACUUUGAAAGUUCGCACCCUGUUAAAAAUCAAGAAACAGUGUGCGUUUUGUUUUCGAAACUACAUAGAACUUGUCAUUGAUGCAUCGUUUGAGCGAAUACGAAAUAUUUUAUUGAAAAUUAAGGAACCGUAAGACGUAUUGAAAAGUUACAAAUUCCGCGCGUAAAUAUUGCACACAUCUAUUCUGUAUGAAAACAUACAUAUUUUCCAUAAAUGUCAAAUCAGGUUCAUUAAUUUACUUUGAAACUUUUAAUAGAUUACAGAGAGAAAUAAAUGACUUAUAAAACUACCAAUGCAUAUAUAUGUAUAUGUGCGUAAUUAUGUUUUAAGGACUAUCGCGUGUAAUCACAAGGGAUAUGUUUACUCAACGAUAAUUGAAAACAGACAGAUAAUCUCGUGCAAUAUAAAGUACAAAUGAAAUGAAAAACUACCAAAUUUUUAUUUUUAGUGAUUGAUAACUAUAUUUUUUUUUAAUAUCACAGUUAAUAUCGAAGUUUAAUCCACGAAAAAUGUUAAAUAUAUUAAAUAAUAAAUAACUGACGUACACUGACGACAUCAAAACUCUAAAAUCAGUUUCAUUACAUCAUCAUUCGUUACAUCGUAUUGACUGUGUCUCCAUCGUCUCCGUCGUCGUAAGUGCCAAUUUGUGCAAGUGCGACAAGGUCGUUUAUUUAAACGUUGUUAAACGUUCGAUAUCAGAAAGUCAAGUCGAUCGACUUAUAUACAUACAUGACCUACGCGUAUAAAACUUAGCAAGUA